This 503-nucleotide ribosomal RNA is filed under the name Lysinibacillus fusiformis. Its description in RNAcentral is "bacterial SSU rRNA". It matches the Rfam family "Bacterial small subunit ribosomal RNA", at positions 1 to 496 of the family's 1533-position model. The record is from RNAcentral. Lineage: Bacteria; Bacillati; Bacillota; Bacilli; Caryophanales; Bacillaceae.
UUUGGAAGAAAAUUGAUCCUGGCUCAGGACGAACGCUGGCGGCGUGCCUAAUACAUGCAAGUCGAGCGAACAGAAAAGGAGCUUGCUCCUUUGACGUUAGCGGCGGACGGGUGAGUAACACGUGGGCAACCUACCCUAUAGUUUGGGAUAACUCCGGGAAACCGGGGCUAAUACCGAAUAAUCUCUUUUGCUUCAUGGUGAAAGACUGAAAGACGGUUUCGGCUGUCGCUAUAGGAUGGGCCCGCGGCGCAUUAGCUAGUUGGUGAGGUAACGGCUCACCAAGGCGACGAUGCGUAGCCGACCUGAGAGGGUGAUCGGCCACACUGGGACUGAGACACGGCCCAGACUCCUACGGGAGGCAGCAGUAGGGAAUCUUCCACAAUGGGCGAAAGCCUGAUGGAGCAACGCCGCGUGAGUGAAGAAGGUUUUCGGAUCGUAAAACUCUGUUGUAAGGGAAGAACAAGUACAGUAGUAACUGGCUGUACCUUGCGGGGUAGCCUUAU